ACUUCAAAGGGGGAGGAGUACGCUAAACCAACUGAAACUUAUAUAUUAAAUAGUCAAAAAAUACAAGUUGUCAGUCUAAUAAUACAUUUAGAUAUAAAGUGACUAGAGAGUAGAGACUUAAAAAAUAGAAAAGUAACAUGUCAGUGAAUGUAAAAGGUUGUUAGUUGCAAGAUAAGGGCGCGAGUGUGAGUAUUGAUCGAGCGAGUGGUGGAGCCCGGUCCGUGUGCCAUGGUGGAGGCGUGAGUGAUUUUCGACGCCCGUACACCCACACGACGCCCACGCCGCCAUGGAGGUGGUUGGGGAGUACGAAUACAGCACCAAGGACCUCAUAGGUCAUGGUGCUUUCGCCGUGGUGUUCAAAGGGCGGCACAAACAGAAACCCGGCCUUACAGUUGCCAUAAAAAGCAUCACUAAGAAGAACAUCGCAAAGAGCCAGAAUCUCUUGGGGAAAGAAAUAAAAAUCCUUAAGGUAAGCGCGGGCGGGGAUGAAGGCGGCGCCUGAGGUCGAGGUUAGUCUUCGCCGGGUUUUUUAAGAAGUCCGUUAUUGCGAAGAGCGGAAUAUGGCGACGUGUUAGUUUUUUUUUUU
This 586-nucleotide unclassified non-coding RNA is filed under the name Penaeus chinensis. Its description in RNAcentral is "serine/threonine-protein kinase ULK2-like, transcript variant X3". Lineage: Eukaryota; Metazoa; Arthropoda; Malacostraca; Decapoda; Penaeidae. The record is from RNAcentral.